CAGCCGUAAACAAUGUGCGUUAGGUGUGUCGGUAACCACGUGUUACUGAUGCGCCGAAGAGAAAUCGUGAAACGCACCACCUGGGAAGUACGGUCGCAAGGCUGAAACUUAAAGGAAUUGGCGGGGGAGCACCACAACAGGUGGAGCCUGCGGUUUAAUUGGAUUCAACGCCGGGAAGCUCACCGGAUAGGACAGCAGAAUGAUUGCCGGGCUGAAGACCCUGCAUGACUAGCUGAGAGGUGGUGCAUGGC
RNAcentral lists this ribosomal RNA (251 nucleotides) under uncultured archaeon. Its description in RNAcentral is "partial 16S ribosomal RNA". It matches the Rfam family "Archaeal small subunit ribosomal RNA", at positions 748 to 998 of the family's 1478-position model. The record is from RNAcentral.